Leptonychotes weddellii (Weddell seal) is the source of this 1197-nucleotide non-coding RNA. Lineage: Eukaryota; Metazoa; Chordata; Mammalia; Carnivora; Phocidae. The record is from RefSeq and is a predicted model, not a curated record.
CGGGGGUCCUGGCUCUCCGGAGCUGGGAGCCCGGAUCGCUUUAACCCUUUGCUUUCCAAUUCCCCCUCCCCUGAUAUCGGAAAGUCUCUUUUCUUUUUCGUAUCAAGAAAAGCCCGGUGAAGACUCAGCAGAACCCAGGAAGCGCAGAAUCGGGAGAAAGUCUUUGGCUGGGGCUGGUUCAAGUCCCUGGUUCAAUGGGCUGCUGGAAGCCAGGACUGGCCAUUUGGAUCAGAAGAUGACAGAUGUUUCAGGUUUUGACGGAUGAUUCAGGUUAACUCAUACCUUAUCCAACGUUUUCAGCUCUACAAGACAAUGUGGCAAAGAACUUUGGAGAUGAAGAACUUGGAUAGAAGAAACGAUUUGCCCAGGGUUACCUGACUUACAGAAGGAGCCCCACACUUUGUUUUCCCUCCAGUCUAGUGUUUUCUCAAAUACACCACUUUGCUUUUUAACUAAAUAAUGGCUUUCCACCACUACAUCCUAAUGAAGAAUUCUGCCACAGGUAUUGGCUUCUUAGAAUCACUGUUCGUGCAGGCGGUCUCUCCUUUUGCCAGUGGGAAAACACAAAUGGGAGAAGAACAACCUUCUGUUUCUUCAAUGGCCUCUAACAAACCAGCGACACCUGAGGGUGAUUCAUUUUUUCAUUUGGUGAAGAUUGCAAGUUUGUUGAAAAUCUUGUCACUUGUUUCGAUGAGGAAGCAAUGUGUGCUGCCUAAGUAGGCGAUAGUUUUUAAGUAAAAACGUGUUAAUUCAUUUUAGGCAGGGCCAGAUUCUGCCCUAUUCUUUGACUAAUCCCUAGUUAUCUAGCAUACUGCCCGGUAUGUGUUAGAUCGUAAACGUAUACAUAUUUAUAUACAAGGAGGGAAGGAGCUAAGAAGAAAAGGAGUCUAGUGCUAUCUUCUACAAAAUAUUAUUCUUUAACAAUAACUGUCAUUGGCUUAUUUUUAUUUUGAUAGAUGAAAUUUUAAUCAUCCCAAACACCCACAAUAACUGACCCAAGUAAGAUUAAAUCAGUCUUCAAAGGUUCUAUGUUCUUUUAUCUCUCUCCAAAUACUCCUUUUAUAUUUUGAAAUAUGGGCUCUAAUCUAAAAGGCUAAGAGUUUUUAUUUUGGGGGGAAAUGGUGUCAUUAGGAUCAGUAGGGGAAAAUGAUUGUGGUUUAAAAAUAAUUGUUUAAACAAAUUGGCGUAAAUCGUGCU